AAAAUCAAGCGGGAAAAAACUGAAAAAACCAAACAGCCACGAUGAUAACUUGACAAUAAUCAAGUCAAAUUUUUCGUUUCCGUUUAAUAAACAAGAGCGAGGGAGUGAGCGAAAGAGAGAGAGAGAGAGAGAGAGAGGGAACGAGAGAGCGAGCAGGAGCAUCUACAUAUGUGUUUUUGUUGUUUCCUGCAUGCAAUUUAUGCUGCAAGCUUCGGCUGUCGCAGUCGCACGCACACUUAAACAGCCUUCUAUGAGGGAUUUCCGGUGCGUGUCGCAGUCGCUGCCAUGUUACACA
Drosophila melanogaster (fruit fly) is the source of this 295-nucleotide non-coding RNA. The record is from Ensembl. Lineage: Eukaryota; Metazoa; Arthropoda; Insecta; Diptera; Drosophilidae.